UACGGGGGGGGCAAGCGUUGUUCGGAAUUACUGGGCGUAAAGGGCUCGUAGGUGGCCAACUAAGUCAGACGUGAAAUCCCUCAGCUUAACUGGGGAACUGCGUCUGAUACUGGAUGGCUUGAGUUUGGGAGAGGGAUGCGGAAUUCCAGGUGUAGCGGUGAAAUGCGUAGAUAUCAGGAGGAACACCUGCGGUGUAGACGGCUUACUGGACCAUAACUGACGCUGAGGCACGAAAGCGUGGGUAGCAAACAGG
RNAcentral lists this ribosomal RNA (253 nucleotides) under uncultured bacterium. Its description in RNAcentral is "partial 16S ribosomal RNA". It matches the Rfam family "Bacterial small subunit ribosomal RNA", at positions 524 to 776 of the family's 1533-position model. The record is from RNAcentral.